CCUACGGGCGGCAGCAGUGGGGGAUAUUGCACAAUGGGGGGAACCCUGAUGCAGCGACGCCGCGUGGGUGAAGAAGCGCCUCGGCGCGUAAAGCCCUGUCAGCAGGGAAGAAAAUGACGGUACCUGAAGAAGAAGCCCCGGCUAACUACGUGCCAGCAGCCGCGGGCAUACGUAGGGGGCAAGCGUUAUCCGGGUGUACUGGGUGUAAGGGGGGGGCAGACGGCGAUGCAGGCCAGGAGGGAAAGCCGGGGGCCCAACCCCGGGACUGCUUUUGGAACUGCGUGGCUGGAGUGCAGGAGAGGCAGGCGGAAUUCCUGGUGUAGCGGUGAAAUGCGUAGAUAUCAGGAGGAACACCGGUGGCGAAGGUGGCCUGCUGGACUGCAACUGACGUUGAGGCCCGAAAGCGUGGGGAGCAAACAGGAUUAGAUACCCCUGUAGUC
Molecule: ribosomal RNA, 440 nt
Filed under: uncultured bacterium
Lineage: Bacteria
Description: partial 16S ribosomal RNA
Rfam family: Bacterial small subunit ribosomal RNA
Source: RNAcentral